UGAGGAAUAUUGGACAAUGGGUGGAAGCCUGAUCCAGCCAUCCCGCGUGAAGGAUGACGGUCCUAUGGAUUGUAAACUUCUUUUGUACAGGGAUAAACCUGCCCUCGUGAGGGCAGCUGAAGGUACUGUACGAAUAAGCACCGGCUAACUCCGUGCCAGCAGCCGCGGUAAUACGGAGGGUGCGAGCGUUAUCCGGAUUUAUUGGGUUUAAAGGGUCCGUAGGCGGGCCUGUAAGUUAGUGGUGAAAUCUCAUAGCUUAACUAUGAAACUGCCAUUGAUACUGCAGGCCUUGAGUAAAUUUGAAGUGGCUGGAAUAAGUAGUGUAGCGGUGAAAUGCAUAGAUAUUACUUAGAACACCGAUUGCGAAGGCAGGUCACUAAGAUUUAACUGACGCUGAUGGACGAAAGCGUGGGGAGCGAACA
RNAcentral lists this ribosomal RNA (422 nucleotides) under uncultured bacterium. RNAcentral describes it as "bacterial SSU rRNA". It matches the Rfam family "Bacterial small subunit ribosomal RNA", at positions 355 to 774 of the family's 1533-position model. The record is from RNAcentral.